RNAcentral lists this ribosomal RNA (494 nucleotides) under uncultured bacterium. Its description in RNAcentral is "partial 16S ribosomal RNA". It matches the Rfam family "Bacterial small subunit ribosomal RNA", at positions 28 to 507 of the family's 1533-position model. The record is from RNAcentral.
GACGAACGCUGGCGGCGCGCUUAACACAUGCAAGUCGAACGGAAAGGCCUGCUUUCCCUUGUGGAUUGCGGGUACUCGAGUGGCGAACGGGUGAGUAACACGUGAGUGAUCUGCCCCCAACUUGGGUAUAAGCCUGGGAAACUGGGUCUAAUUCCCGAUAGGACUGCAGGGUGGUGCCUGUGGUGGAAAACGAUUUUCUAGUGGUUGGGGAUGAGCUCGCGGCCUAUCAGCUUGUUGGUGGGGUAAUGGCCUACCAAGGCGGCGACGGGUAGCCGGCCUGAGAGGGUGGACGGCCACAUUGGGACUGAGAUACGGCCCAGACUCCUACGGGAGGCAGCAGUGGGGAAUAUUGCACAAUGGGCGGAAGCCUGAUGCAGCGACGCCGCGUGGGGGAUGACGGCCUUCGGGUUGUAAACUCCUUUCGACCGCGAGGAAGCCACCUGGUUGGAAGGGUGGUGACAGUAGUGGCAGAAGAAGCACCGGCUAACUACGUG